GUCUAAGGCCAUACCACCUGGAACUUUCCCAAUCUCAUCUUGUCUUGGUAGCUAAGCAGGGUCAGGCCCAGUUAGUAUUUGAAUGGGAGAGAGAUCUUCAGAAAAUACUACUCAGACAAACAGUUUGCAGACA
This 133-nucleotide ribosomal RNA is filed under the name Castor canadensis (American beaver). The record is from RNAcentral. Lineage: Eukaryota; Metazoa; Chordata; Mammalia; Rodentia; Castoridae.